UUUUAUAUUUAAAUCCCGGAUAACCCGCAGCCGCAAACAGGAAAACUACGGGAAAGGAGCAAAAGAAAGCAGGAACAACCAACACACGACAUUUGCCCGAUCAUCCCUUUCUUCUCCCACCACUGCUCUGCGAAAUCAAAGUCACAUCAAGUUUGCUGGUGCUUAUGGGCAUUAGAUGGCCGAGGAUUCUAACACCGAAGCAGCUCUCACAAAUAAUACUGAGUCAGAAGAACCCACUAAAAGCACUUCAAUUUUUUGACGAAGCAAAAUGCAAGUAUCCAACUUACCGUCACAAUGGUCCUGUUUAUGGCACUAUGAUUAAUAUUUUAGGCAGAUCAGGUAGAACAACUGAGAUGAAGGGAAUAAUUAAUCAAAUGAAAGAGGACUCCUGUGAGUGUCAUGACUCAAUAUUUGUGAACGCCAUUAGAAGCUAUGUACAAGCUGGAUUAACAAACGAAGCCAUUUUUCUUUUUAAGUCUCUUCCGGAGUUCAAUUGUAUAGAAUGGACAAGAUCUUUGAAUACUCUUUUGGAGAUAUUGGUAGAAGAAUCUAAGCUAGAAUCUGUUUAUCAGUUAUUCCUUGAGAACUCUUGUGGAUGGGAAGUGAAGUCUCGGGCACAUUUCUUGAAUUUGUUGAUGAAUGCUCUUUGUAGAAUGAAACGCUCUGAUCUUGCAUUGCAUAUUUUCCAAGAGAUGAGUUACCAGAACUGUUAUCCAAACAAAGAGAGUUAUAGGAUCUUGAUGAGGGGUUUAUGUGAAGAAAAGCGGCUCAAUGAGGCUACUCAUCUAUUGUACUCAAUGUUCUGGAGGAUAUCUCAGAAGGGAAGUGGUGAAGAUGUGGUUGUCUAUCGAGCUUUAUUGGAAGCGUUGUGUGAUAAUGAAGAAGGGGAGGAGGCCAUACAAAUUCUUGGUAAGGUAUUGCGCAAAGGACUAAAAGCUCCGAAAAAAUGCUACAAGCAGAUUGAUCUUACUCAAUGCCGGAAUGGAUCAGAUACAGAAAAUAUGAAAGUUUUGAUUAAUGAAGCUUUGAUAAAAGGCAUAGUUCCCAGUUCAGAUAGCUACAGAGCAAUGUCUGUUGACUUUUAUGCCGAAGGCAAGAUUGAUGAAGGUAACAAAGUGCUCAAGGAAAUGCAUGACAGAGGCUUCAAACCGUCAGUGGUGAUUUAUGAAGCAAAGGUAGCUGCUCUUUUCAGGGAUGGCCAGGUUGACGAGGCAAUUAUGGUCAUUGAUUGUGAGAUGGUGCAAAAAAACUGUGUUCCGAAUAUUAGAUUGUAUAAUGUAGUUAUAAAAGGCCUAUGCCAUGAAAGAAAAUCUACUUGUGCUAUUAAGUAUUUGGAAAGGAUGUCUAGGCAAGUAGGUUGCGUGCCAAACUAUGAAACUUAUGAAACUUUGGUAGAUGGGUUAUGUGAAGAUGGUAAAUAUGUUGAAGCAAGCAAGGUGAUGGAGCAAAUGUCAAUUAAUUCCUUUUGGCCUAGAGUUGGAACUUUGAAUUCUCUUAUCCGAGGUCUCUGCCAAGUAGGUGAUUUACACAGUGCAAUUAUGUGUUUGGAGGACAUGAUCUCUCUAGCCUUGACUCCAGAUAUCCAUGUGUGGCAGUCAUUAUUAGGUGCAAUCUGUUGUGAAAACGGUAUGAAUGAGGCUUCUUUCAAGACACUAGAGCAGCUACAGACACCUUAGCAUAGUCUAUAACUACAACUGUAUUGCUGGAUUCCCCCUAUUUCUUUUCUGGAUACAUGAUGAAGCAUUUUUACAAUCCAUUGUUCGCAUUCAGUACCAGCCUUUCAAGGAGUCUUCCGUGUGUUUCUCGGAAUCACUAGCAUACUCUAAAUCUUUUCAAUGUUAUUGAUAAGGAUUAUUGAGGCAUCAUAUUUAUGUUUGUGUUUCUUUGGAUGGCUAGUAUUCAUGCUCUAAAGUAGUCUCUUAUUUGGCAAUCCUUUAUUUCUUACCAGCUGGGUUAUGAACAGCUUGGUAUUUAAGGAAACGAGCUGAAGACAUUUUUGUGCUCUGUUGUACCAUUUCAGUUUUGCUUCUUUUCUUUCCACAAUUGGAGAAGAUAUGGAAAUUUUGUUACAAAUUGAGGAAUUUCUGAUUGGAAAACUUGAAGUUCGUUCUAGCAUUUCUCUUCAAAAUCUUCCUAGGUCCUUAUGUCCUUAGUUGAACUGUUUCAGUUUCCCCUCGAGAUUUCAAAACAAAGAUACAAACAGAUUGUUCUUAAGAUUCAGAAACGUUGAAAUGAGAUGUAGAAAGCAAUAUUUCAUGAUCUUUCUUUUGUGUGUGGGAGCCUGGGAGGUAUGUCCGAAAGAAAGUAAGAAGAAUCCUUUUCGGUUGAUUAGGACGAAGUUCCUUAAAAACCUCCACCUUCUUUAAAAUAUGAACAGUUCCUAUAGGUUGAGCCCCUUUUUCGAGGAAACAUAAAAUAGCAGGCACAUUUAAAUAAGUUUGAUUCUUUAUCAGAUCAUAAAAACCCACUUUCCAAAGAUCUUUUCCUUCUCUUCGGGAUCAAACAUCAAUUGCAAUGACAAGCUAACUUGAACCUGGAUUCCAAAUGAACAAAUUCAAACUUGAAAAGGAUCUUCCUCGAGGUAGAGCUUAAAUCUUGAGUCCUUUUACUAGAGAUGGACUUCUCUUCUGUAGGACAAACUAACUGUGAACAGUACUUUGUAGAUAUCGCGAACAACAAUUAACAAUGAAGUUGAGAAAUGGGGCAAAGGUAUGCAACACCAGUAGUAAUAUAUUGCUAUGGUUUUUUGUCUUUAACCGUGAAUUCAUUGUAUUUGGGAGACAAAAUCCGAUUAUGAUGAUCUCUCAUUUAAUGUGGUUCCCUCUAGAUUUAAAAGUUGUGUAGAGGUUUUAUAAUUAGUUUAUUAAUUGGUGUCAACAAUAAAAAAUGAUUUAGCCUUUUAAUAUCUUAAAACGAAGUAAAUGCACUAUCUAAUCAAUGAAUUAUGUUUCCCAAGUUUUUUCAGAAAAGGCAUAAAAACUAAGUUGCUCGGGCUUUUCACUUUUGGUGCCGCACUUGUGCGACACGACGUGGGAUCCGUACUCGAUCUGGUCAACUAGUUUUGGAUACUUUGACCAAAUUCGAGGGUGAAAUUCUGGAUUCAAUGAUUUUUAUAAUCAGAACAAAUACUAAUGUGAAAUUGAAGAAAAUGAAAUACCUUGUAUAUAUAAAUCUCUAUUGUACUAAAAAGGGCGGGAUAGAGAGGGACGGACGGACAUCGAGGAUCUAUACAAGCACCUGAAUUAUAUGUACUAAAAUUAUGCUAAUGCUAUAGACUCAUAAGCAUCGGAACAUAUACCAAGACACAUACUGAAACAUAAACAAUACUAUAGAAUCCUUAGUGAUUAAUGGAGAAGAGUCUUCAGAUCCUGUUGCAAUCAGAUAUGAAAUUGUGGAUUUUUAUCAGAUUUUGUACAAGGAGACAGAAAGUUGGAGACCAUCUUUAAACAUCUUAGAUGUUCAAACAAUCACAGAAGAAGAACAAAUAUUGUUGUCUAGAGAUUUUGAGGAGGAAAAAGUUUUGGAAGGAAUAAAACAGUGUGCUGUUGAUAAAGCACCUGGACCAGAUGGCUAUACAAUGGCUUUCUUCAGUGUUUUUUGGGAAACUAUCAAAGACGAUGUGAUGCAAACCUUCCACAAAUUUCAUGCUCAUCAAAAGUUUGAAAAGAGUUUUAAUGCCACAUUUGUAGCUUUAAUUCCAAAGAAGGUGGGGGAAAAUGAGCUAAAGGAUUUUAGACCUAUCAGCUUGAUCACAGGGGUAUACAAGAUCAUAGCUAAGGUGCUGGCAGAAAGGU
Solanum tuberosum (potato) is the source of this 3794-nucleotide RNA transcript. It is a transcript of the gene named pentatricopeptide repeat-containing protein At1g05600, with no coding region annotated. The transcript is spliced from 3 exons. Lineage: Eukaryota; Viridiplantae; Streptophyta; Magnoliopsida; Solanales; Solanaceae. The record is from RefSeq and is a predicted model, not a curated record.